UACGAGGGGGGCGAGCGUUGUUCGGAAUUAUUGGGCGUAAAGGGUGCGUAGGCGGUUUGGUAAGUCUUGUGUGAAAUCUUCGGGCUCAACUCGAAGUCUGCAUGAGAAACUGCCGGGCUUGAGUAUGGGAGAGGUGAGUGGAAUUCCUGGUGUAGCGGUGAAAUGCGCAGAUAUCAGGAGGAACACCAAUGGCGAAGGCAGCUCGCUGGGACGUGACUGACGCUGAGACGCGAAAGCGUGGGGAGCAAACAG
Molecule: ribosomal RNA, 252 nt
Filed under: uncultured bacterium
Lineage: Bacteria
Description: partial 16S ribosomal RNA
Rfam family: Bacterial small subunit ribosomal RNA
Source: RNAcentral